Molecule: ribosomal RNA, 460 nt
Filed under: uncultured bacterium
Lineage: Bacteria
Description: partial 16S ribosomal RNA
Rfam family: Bacterial small subunit ribosomal RNA
Source: RNAcentral
CCUACGGGAGGCAGCAGUGAGGAAUAUUGGUCAAUGGGCGCGAGCCUGAACCAGCCAAGUAGCGUGAAGGAUGACUGCCCUACGGGUUGUAAACUUCUUUUAUAAGGGAAUAAAGUGAGGCACGUGUGCCUUUUUGUAUGUACCUUAUGAAUAAGGAUCGGCUAACUCCGUGCCAGCAGCCGCGGUAAUACGGAGGAUCCGAGCGUUAUCCGGAUUUAUUGGGUUUAAAGGGAGCGUAGGUGGGUUGUUAAGUCAGUUGUGAAAGGUUGCGGCUCAACCGUAAAAUUGCAGUUGAUACUGGCAGUCUUGAGUACAGUAGAGGUAGGCGGAAUGCGUGGUGUAGCGGUGAAAUGCUUAGAUAUCACGAAGAACUCCGAUUGCGAAGGCAGCUUACUGGCCUGCAACUGACACUGAGGCUCGAAAGUGUGGGUAUCAAACAGGAUUAGAUACCCGGGUAGUC